RNAcentral lists this ribosomal RNA (403 nucleotides) under uncultured bacterium. RNAcentral's name for it is "bacterial SSU rRNA". It matches the Rfam family "Bacterial small subunit ribosomal RNA", at positions 355 to 775 of the family's 1533-position model. The record is from RNAcentral.
UAGGGAAUAUUAGAAAUGGACGCAAGUCUGAUCUAGCAACACCGCGUGUGCGAAGAAGGCCUUCGGGUCGUAAAGCACUUUUUGGAAGGAAUAGGAAGGAAUGUACUUCCAGAAUAAGUCUCGGCUAACUACGAGCCAGCAGCCGCGGUAACACGUAGGAGGCAAACGUUAUCCGGAUUUACUGGGCGUAAAGCGCGUGUAGGUGGCACUGUAAGUAGGGCGUGAAAGCUCCUGGCUCAACUGGGAGAGGCCGUUCUAAACUACAGAACUAGAGGAUGGUAGAGGGAGGUGGAAUUCCAGGUGUAGCGGUGGAAUGCGCAGAUAUCUGGAGGAACACCGGUGGCGAAGGCGGCCUCCUGGACCAUUCCUGACACUCAGACGCGAAAGCUAGGGUAGCAAACGG